GCGCGGGAGGGCUGUGUGAUGGCCUCGGAGCGCCCGGAGCCGGAGGUGGAAGAAGCUGGGCAGGUGUUCCUGUUAAUGAAAAAGGAUUAUCGAAUCUCCCGAAAUGUUCGCCUGGCUUGGUUCCUCAGUCAUCUGCACCAAACUGUGCAGGCCACACCCCAGGAGAUGCUGCUUCAGUCUGAACAGGAAUUGGAAGUCCUCAGUGUCCUGCCCCCUGGGUGGCAGCCAGAUGAACCAGUGGUCCCAAGGCCAUUCCUCCUGGUACCUUCCACCCGGGUCACCUUCUUGGCUUGGCAGUAUCGGUUUGUCAUUGAGCUGGACCUUAGCCCAUCUACUGGCAUUGUGGAUGAUUCCACAGGGGAGAUCUUGUUUGAUGAAGUUUUCCAUGCCCUGUCCCGCUGCCUAGGCGGGCUGCUUCGGCCCUUCCGAGUGCCUGGAUCUUGCAUCGACUUCCAGCCUGAGAUCUAUGUAACUAUCCAGGCCUACUCCUCCAUCAUUGGACUGCAGUCCCACCAGAUGAUAUGAUCUUUUAUUUGGAAAAACCUAAUGGCUCCACCAAAAAACUAUUAGAACUGAUAAACAAAUUCAAUAAAGUUGCAAGAUACAAAAUCAACAUACAGAAAAUCAGUAGCAUUUCUGUAUGUCAGCAGCAGACAAUGUGAAGAAGAAAUCAAGAAAGUAAUCCCAUUUACGAUAGUUUAAAAUAAAAUACCUAGGAAUUAACUUAACCAAAGAAGUGAAAGGUCUCUACAAUGAAAACUAUAAAACAUCGAUGAGAGAAAUUGAAGUGGACUCCAAAAAUUGGAAUGAUAUUCCAUGUUCAUGGAUUGGAAGAAUCAGUAUUGUUAAAAUGCCCACACUGCCUAAAGCAGUCUACAGAUUCAGUACAAUUCCUAUCAAAAUACCAAUGACAUUCUUCAUAGAAAUAGAGAAAACAAUCCUAAAAUUUAUAUGGAACCACAAAAGACCCAGAAUAGCCAAAGCUAUUCUGAGCAAAACAAACAAAACUGGAGGAAUCACAUUACCUGACUUCAGAUUAUACUACAAAGCUAUAGUAACCAAAAACAGCAUGGUACUUGCAUAAAAACAGACACAUAGACCAAUGGAACAGAAUAGAGAACCCAGAAGCCAUAUAUCUACAAUGAACUCAUUUUUGACAAAGAUGCCAAGAACAUACAUUGGGGAAAGAACAGUCUCUUCAGUAAAUGGUUCUGGGAAGACUGGAUAUUCAUAUGCAGAAGAAUGAAACUAGACUCCUAUCUCACAAAAAUCAAAUCAAAAUGGAUUAAAGACUUAAAUCUGGCCGGGCGCAGUGGCUCACACCUGUAAUCCCAACACUUUGGGAGGCCAAGGCAGGUGGAUCACGAGGUCAGGAGUUCAAGACCAGCCUGGCCAAGAUGGUGAAACCCCAUCUCUACUAAAAAACUACAAAAAAACUAGCCGGGUGCAGUGGCAGGUGCCUGUAAUCUCAGCUACUCGGGAGGCUGAGGCAGGAGAAUCUCUUGAACCUGGGCAGCAGAGGUUGCAGUGAGCCAAGAUCGCGCCACUGCACUCCAGCCUGGCCGACAGAGUAAGACUCUGUCUCAAAACAAACAAACAAAAA
RNAcentral lists this small RNA (1603 nucleotides) under Pan troglodytes (chimpanzee). Its description in RNAcentral is "retained intron". Lineage: Eukaryota; Metazoa; Chordata; Mammalia; Primates; Hominidae. The record is from RNAcentral.